CCUACGGGAGACAGCAGUAGGGAAUUUUCGUCAAUGGGGGGAACCCUGACCGAGCAACGCCGCGUGAAGGAAGAAGGAAUUCGUUCUGUAAACUUCUGUUAUAAAGGAAGAAAGACGGAUGGAGGAAAUGACAUCCGAGUGACGGUACUUUAUGAGAAAGCCACGGCUAACUACGUGCCAGCAGCCGCGGUAAUACGUAGGUGGCAAGCGUUGUCCGGAAUUAUUUGGCGUAAAGAGGGAGCAGGCGGCAGCAAAGGUCUGUGGUGAAAGAGUGAAGCUUAACGUCAGGAAGCCAUAGAAACCGGGCAGCUAGAGUGCAGGAGAGGAUCGUGGAAUUCGAUGUGUAGCGGUGAAAUGCGUAGAGAUAUGGAGGAACACCAGUGGCGAAGGCGACGAUCUGGCCUGCAACUGACGCUCAGUCCCGAAAGCGUGGGGAGCAAAUAGGAUUAGAUACCCCUGUAGUC
RNAcentral lists this ribosomal RNA (464 nucleotides) under uncultured bacterium. RNAcentral describes it as "partial 16S ribosomal RNA". It matches the Rfam family "Bacterial small subunit ribosomal RNA", at positions 338 to 795 of the family's 1533-position model. The record is from RNAcentral.